GCAUGGUAAUGGAUUUAUGGUGGGCCCUUUAAUGUGGGCCUUUCAUAGUGUACCCAUGCUAGAGUAAACUGCAGCCUCAAACCAUUGCCUAGCCUCCUCAGCCGUGGGCUGUGAGCACUGAAGGGGUUUGCACAUUG
Molecule: small nucleolar RNA, 137 nt
Filed under: Microcebus murinus (gray mouse lemur)
Lineage: Eukaryota; Metazoa; Chordata; Mammalia; Primates; Cheirogaleidae
Description: Small nucleolar RNA SNORA42/SNORA80 family (ENSMICG00000044057.1)
Rfam family: Small nucleolar RNA SNORA42/SNORA80 family
About the family: The members of this family belong to the H/ACA class of snoRNAs that guide the sites of modification of uridines to pseudouridines.
Source: Rfam by way of RNAcentral